RNAcentral lists this ribosomal RNA (443 nucleotides) under Ectocarpus sp. RCC2963. RNAcentral's name for it is "SSU rRNA". It matches the Rfam family "Eukaryotic small subunit ribosomal RNA", at positions 626 to 1060 of the family's 1831-position model. Lineage: Eukaryota; Phaeophyceae; Ectocarpales; Ectocarpaceae. The record is from RNAcentral.
GCUCGUAGUUGGAUUUGUGGCGCGGCCGUCCGGCGGGGCUCCUUCAUUGGGGCCGUUUGUCUGGUUUUUCGGCCGCUCCAUUCUCGGGUAGUGUGUCGCUGGCAUUAGGUUGUCGGCUUCUUCACGCCCGUCGUUUACUGUGAAAAAAUUAGAGUGUUCAAAGCAGGCUUAGGCCAUUGGAUACAUUAGCAUGGAAUAAUGAGAUAGGGCCACGACGGUCUAUUUUGUUGGUUUGCACGUUGUGGUAAUGAUUAACAGGAACGGUUGGGGGUAUUCGUAUUCAAUUGUCAGAGGUGAAAUUCUUGGAUUUAUGGAAGACGAACUACUGCGAAAGCAUUUACCAAGGAUGUUUUCAUUAAUCAAGAACGAAAGUUAGGGGAUCGAAGAUGAUUAGAUACCAUCGUAGUCUUAACCAUAAACUAUGCCGACUAGGGAUUGGCGGU